This 2238-nucleotide ribosomal RNA is filed under the name Candidatus Aminicenantota bacterium. RNAcentral describes it as "partial 23S ribosomal RNA". It matches the Rfam family "Bacterial large subunit ribosomal RNA", at positions 728 to 2925 of the family's 2925-position model. The record is from RNAcentral. Lineage: Bacteria; Candidatus Aminicenantota.
AUCUACCCUUGGCCAGGGUGAACUUCGGGUAACACCGAAGGGAGGCCCGAACCGGUGUCGGUUGAAAACGGCUCGGAUGAGCUGAGGGUUGGAGUGAAAGGCUAAUCAAACUCAGUGAUAGCUCGUUCUCUCCGAAAUAGCUUUAGGGCUAGCCUUGCAUGAUUGGUAAGGGAGGUAGAGCACUGGAUGGCCUAGGGGCUCGAAAGAGUUUCCGAAUCCAACCAAACUCCGAAUUCCCUUAACCUCAGUGCGGGAGUUAGACUGCUAGGGCUAAGCUUGGUAGUCAAAAGGGAAAGAGCCCAGAUCGUCAGCUAAGGUCCCUAAAUGCAAGCUAAGUGGGCAAGGAUGUGAAGAGGCCGAGACAGCCAGGAGGUUGGCUUAGAAGCAGCCAUCCUUUAAAGAAAGCGUAACAGCUCACUGGUCAAGUGUUUUCGCGCCGACAAUGUAACGGGGCUAAGCUUGCUACCGAAGCUACGAUUUGUCAAAGCUUUCGGGCUUUGACGAAGGUAGGAGAGCAUUCUAAUUUGAGUGAAGCCUUGAUGUGAGUCAGGGUGGACGGAUUGGAAGAGACUCUGCCGGCAUAAGUAGCGAUAAUUCCGGUAAAAACCCGGAACGCCGAAAAUCUAAGGUUUCCUGAGGAAGGCCAGUCCGCUCAGGGUUAGUCGGUCCCUAAGCCGAGGUCGAAAGACGUAGGCGAUGGACAGCAGGUCAACAUUCCUGCACCACCUGAAAAGCGUUUGUACGAUGGGGGGACGCGGACGGAUAAGCAUACACACGGUUGGAAAUGUGUGGCCGCCAGGUAGAGGGAGUUUCCAGGCAAAUCCGGAAGCUCAUUAACCUCGAGCACGGCGGGGAAGAUUGCCUUCGGGCUUUCCAACUUGCUGAAUCCAUGCCGCCAAGAAAAGCCUCUAAGGAGUUUUUUAGGUGACCGUACCGUAAACCAACACAGGUAGAUGAGGAGAGAAUCCUAAGGCGCACGUGUGAACCCUCUUUGAGGAACUCGGCAAAUUGACCCCGUAACUUUGGAAGAAGGGGUGCCUCGUUAGUGUUGUAUCUCGAUUCGCUCGAGAGAAGCACGAGGAGGUCGCAGAGAAAUGGCCCAGGCGACUGUUUACUAAAAACACAGGUCUCUGCAAAGUCAACAAAACGACGUAUAGGGACUGACGCCUGCCCGGUGCCGGAAGGUUAAGGGGAAGGGUUAGCCCUCGGGCGAAGCUCCAAACUUAAGCCCCGGUAAACGGCGGCCGUAACUAUAACGGUCCUAAGGUAGCGAAAUUCCUUGUCGGGUAAGUUCCGACCCGCACGAAUGGCGUAACGACUUGGGCGCUGUCUUGAAGAGGAGCACGGCGAAAUUGUAGUACCGGUGAAGAUGCCGGUUACCUGCCGCUGGACGGAAAGACCCCGGCACCUUAACUGCAGCUUAUCAUUGGAUUUUGGGUUAUUAUGUGCAGGAUAGGUGGGAGACUUUGAAGUCCUGACGUCAGUUAGGAUGGAGUCAAUGGUGAGAUACCACUCUUGAUAUUCUGAGGUUCUAACCUACAACGGUAAUCCCGUUGAGGAACAGUGUUAAGUGGGUAGUUUGACUGGGGCGGUCGCCUCCUAAAGUGUAACGGAGGCGUCCUAAGGUUCCCUCAGACUGUUUGGAAAUCAGUCGUAGAGUAUAAAGGCAUAAGGGAGCUUGACUGUGAGACCGACAAGUCGAACAGGUAGGAAACUAGGGCUUAGUGAUCCGGCGGUCCCGUAUGGAAGGGCCGUCGCUCAACGGAUAAAAGGUACGCCGGGGAUAACAGGCUAAUAGGGCCCAAGAGCUCAUAUCGACGGCCCUGUUUGGCACCUCGAUGUCGGCUCAUCGCAUCCUGGGGCUGAAGCCGGUCCCAAGGGUUGGGCUGUUCGCCCAUUAAAGCGGUACGUGAGCUGGGUUUAGAACGUCGCGAGACAGUUCGGUCCCUAUCCGCGGUAGGCGCAGGAAAUUUGAAGGGAUCCGUUCCUAGUACGAAAGGACCGGAACGGACGAACAUAUGGUGUACCAGUUGUCCCGCCAGGGGCAGCGCUGGGUAGCUACGUUCGGAAAAGAUAACCGCUGAAGGCAUAUAAGCGGGAAACUCACCCUGAGAUUAGAUUUCCCACCCUUAACAGGGCUAAAGGUCCCUUGUAGACUACGAGGUUGAUAGGCUGGGCGUGUAAGUCCGGUAACGGAUUGAGCUAACCAGUACUAAUAGACCGUGAGGCUUGACCAUA